RNAcentral lists this transfer RNA (75 nucleotides) under Bdellovibrio bacteriovorus. RNAcentral describes it as "tRNA-Cys". It matches the Rfam family "tRNA". From Rfam's summary of the family: Transfer RNA (tRNA) molecules are approximately 80 nucleotides in length. Their secondary structure includes four short double-helical elements and three loops (D, anti-codon, and T loops). The record is from RNAcentral. Lineage: Bacteria; Pseudomonadati; Bdellovibrionota; Bdellovibrionia; Bdellovibrionales; Pseudobdellovibrionaceae.
GGCCAGUUGACAGAGCGGCAGAUGUGACGGAUUGCAAAUCCGUUUAGGUGGGUUCGACUCCCGCACUGGCUUCCA